Molecule: ribosomal RNA, 490 nt
Filed under: uncultured bacterium
Lineage: Bacteria
Description: partial 16S ribosomal RNA
Rfam family: Bacterial small subunit ribosomal RNA
Source: RNAcentral
AUUGAACGCUGGCGGCAGGCCUAACACAUGCAAGUCGAACGGUAACAGGAAGCAGCUUGCUGCUUUGCUGACGAGUGGCGGACGGGUGAGUAAUGUCUGGGAAACUGCCUGAUGGAGGGGGAUAACUACUGGAAACGGUAGCUAAUACCGCAUAACGUCGCAAGACCAAAGAGGGGGACCUUCGGGCCUCUUGCCAUCGGAUGUGCCCAGAUGGGAUUAGCUAGUAGGUGGGGUAACGGCUCACCUAGGCGACGAUCCCUAGCUGGUCUGAGAGGAUGACCAGCCACACUGAAACUGAGACACGGUCCAGACUCCUACGGGAGGCAGCAGUGGGGAAUAUUGCACAAUGGGCGCAAGCCUGAUGCAGCCAUGCCGCGUGUAUGAAGAAGGCCUUCGGGUUGUAAAGUACUUUCAGCGGGGAGGAAGGGAGUAAAGUUAAUACCUUUGCUCAUUGACGUUACCCGCAGAAGAAGCACCGGCUAACUCCGUG